RNAcentral lists this ribosomal RNA (164 nucleotides) under uncultured bacterium. RNAcentral's name for it is "partial 16S rRNA". It matches the Rfam family "Bacterial small subunit ribosomal RNA", at positions 355 to 511 of the family's 1533-position model. The record is from RNAcentral.
UAGGGAAUCUUCCACAAUGGACGCAAGUCUGAUGGAGCAACGCCGCGUGAGUGAAGAAGGUUUUCGGAUCGUAAAACUCUGUUGUUAGAGAAGAACACGAGUGAGAGUAACUGUUCAUUCGAUGACGGUAUCUAACCAGCAAGUCACGGCUAACUACGUGCCAG